CGGCCGUGGCAGCGGCCCCUUCCCGAGGUGCGGCGGGGACGGAACCCGGGGGUGUCCGACUCCGGUGUCCCCCGUGUCCCCACGUGCAGGCUCCUCCGUGGUGCUCUCUGAAAGCAUUUCAAGCUCGACACACAGAAGCUGUUUCUCCAUGAGCAGCUGUGGGGCAUUUGGCUGAUGGUUUUGACAGCAGAGAUGAAUUGAGGACGUGGCAUCUGCAGUCCUGACCUGGAAUUUGAGCCCUUUAGUGCCUCUCCCUCCUCCCAGACAGAGAGGAGGCGGAAGAUCUCGGAAUCUUCUGAUUGCCAUCGAUCUGAUUUUGCUGAGCACUGGACUUCUAUCACGUCUGUGUGUUCCUUGAGAGAUGAUUUCAAUCUGAAAAAAAACCCUGUAAGUAUCUUGAGAGCUGGAAAUCAGAUGCUCUGAUCUAGCAUUUCUCCAGCAUUUAGCCAUCACCUCUACAACCAGCACCUCAUUUAAAAAAACCAACAAAACAAACAUGAAACAUAAGGAAAACCAUGAGAUAAUGUUGCUGAUUUUGAGCCCUGACGUACAUGUGUUUCCUUUCUGAUAUUUUUGGAGGGAAGAAUUGGAUCUACCUUUUUUUUUUUUUUCCCCCCACAUCUGUGAGGACUAGACACUUCUUUACCAGAGGGGAAAAAAAUAAAUUGAGAUUUCCAGGUGGUAACAUGGCUGAAAGAAAACAUGAAUACGUGGAAAUUCAUGCUCAUUACUACUGGCACAGAUGUGGCUCUGUAGAGCUGAAGCUAACCAGGGUGUAGAGAUGAGAACUGCAUAUAAUUGAAGCCCUGAUUAAUUAAAAGCAAUUUCUUGGCACAGACAACGAUGGAGCAUUCUUGGGUGGAUCUGCACAUGUCCCAGUGGACGUGUGCACCAGGGCCUGCUGCCUGUGCUGGGGUGAGGCUUUGUGUGGGCAGACAAGGGGUAGAAAAGUGUCUUUGCCAAGAAAGCCAAGCCAAGAGGAACAGCGAGCCACCUCUCCACUGCAGCUUCAGGUGUGUUGCUGCACCCAGCACACAAGUGCCCCAUGCUUCUCCAGGGCUCUACACUUGGAACUGCUGCUGGAGGAAGUGUGGGAUCAGGAAGGGAAUUUUGUGCACACAGGGCAAUGACCUUAUCGUGCAGGAUCAUAAGCAAAACCCUGAAAGACAACUGAUGGAUCCAGCAGCCCUGGGAACACUGCUGGAACCACCAGCUUCAUGGAACAUUUUCCUGGAGUCCAGCAGUGGUUUUCUGGAGUUAAAAAUUGAUCAAAUUUCCUUUCCUCCCUUCCCCCCCUCCCAAAGGCUUUUUUGUUAUCUGUGUCCAAAAUCUCCGGCAGAAACUCCAUGAUUGGAGCAAUUUGGCCCAAUGCCAUGAGAAGGGACUGCUCCACACACCUUAGGAAGUGCAAAGAGGAGAAAGAAAAGAAAGUAGAGCCCUUCAUGCUGCGCCUGAUCGCUCAUCAAAGCCAGCUGCCUCCUGUGCUGACCUGAGGACAUGACAGAUGUCUGUAGCCUUUACAGGUGCAGGGCCUGCAUUUCAUCAGUCUUUUUUCCAUGGAUGACCUGGAGUGUGGAUUAUUAGCAGCUCCGAUUUCUUUGGCCGAGGUGCUUUGUUGUGUACACAUCCGGGUUAAAUCAAAGCAAUAUUUCUGAUCCAUGUAGGCUUCUGAGUCGGUUCUGCAUCUCUGGUGUUUACAAAAUGAUCAGAGUUUGAACUCUCCCUGUUCUGUUUCUUAAAUGUCAGCAGAAACUUUUUUUUUAAAUAAAACAAUGCAGCCUUCCCCUGCAAUGUUUGUAACCGAGAAACUGUGGCAUCACAAGAGCAUGAAGAAAUACUGGCUGAUUAAAACCAGGGUAAGAAAUGACA
Molecule: long non-coding RNA, 1869 nt
Organism: Parus major (Great Tit)
Lineage: Eukaryota; Metazoa; Chordata; Aves; Passeriformes; Paridae
Exons: 2
Source: RefSeq, a predicted model, not a curated record